AUUCCAGCUCCAAUAGCGUAUAUUAAAGUUGUUGCAGUUAAAAAGCUCGUAGUUGAAUUUCUGGUGGGAGUGUACAGUCCGACACUGAGUGUUGGUUCUUGUGUGUCUCCGGCCAUCCUUGGAGUGAAUCUGUCUGGCAUUUAGUUGUUGGGCAGAGUAUCUCCAUCGUUUACUGUGAGGAAAGGAAAGUGUUCAAAGCAGGCUUACGCCGUUGAAUCUUUUAGCAUGGAAUAAUGGAAUAGGAACUCGUUUCUAUUUUGUUGGUUUUCGGAAAUCGAGUUAAUGAUUAACAGGGACAAUUGGGGGCAUUAGUAUUCAGACGACAGAGGUGAAAUUCUUGGACCGUCUGAAGACUGACUACUGCGAAAGCAUUUGCUAAGAGUGUUUUCAUCA
Molecule: ribosomal RNA, 393 nt
Filed under: Eucampia sp.
Lineage: Eukaryota; Bacillariophyta; Thalassiosirophyceae; Eucampiales; Eucampiaceae
Description: partial small subunit ribosomal RNA
Rfam family: Eukaryotic small subunit ribosomal RNA
Source: RNAcentral